Molecule: transfer RNA, 84 nt
Filed under: Asprobacillus argus
Lineage: Bacteria; Pseudomonadati; Bacteroidota; Flavobacteriia; Flavobacteriales; Flavobacteriaceae
Description: tRNA-Leu
Rfam family: tRNA
About the family: Transfer RNA (tRNA) molecules are approximately 80 nucleotides in length. Their secondary structure includes four short double-helical elements and three loops (D, anti-codon, and T loops).
Source: RNAcentral
GCGUACAUGGCGGAAUUGGUAGACGCGCAAGCUUGAGGGGCUUGUGUCCAAUAGGAUGUGCAGGUUCGACUCCUGUUGUACGCA